AUGUCUGCUGACCUCUCAGAAAGAAAGAUGAGAAGACCAAAGGGAAGUAUCCAAAGCAACCCUGAAUGGGAACCAGAUCCCACAGUCCGCUGGCUUACACUGGCCCUCUCUCCCUUCACCUCAUCGCCUCUUCAGAGAGGCCUUCCCUGGUGGCCCCAUCCCUUCUUCUCCUCUGUUGUUUCCUUUCAAGGCACUCAGCCAGUAUGGAAUUAUACAGGUAUGUAUCUGUGUGGGCCCCCAAUGCCUGUCUUUCCGACUAAACUGCAAGCUUCAGGAGACCAGGGGUUGUAUCUGUUUCAUCCUGGAGCUCUAGUGCAGGGCAGGUCCACAGAGUUGCCAAUAAAUAUAUAUGAGCAGGAAAAAAUAAGUAUCCAUAUGGCCUGAGAACCUCCUCAUAUGUGCCUAGGGCAGCACUGAGAUUGGAUCAAAAACCAUAGAGUUGACAAGCCUCGAGUGCCCUGUCUUGAGGAGCGUAAGGUUAGGAAGGGAGAUGAGACACCUAGUGAAUAGCCUCACACAAGGAAGAUGGUUGAGUCAGGAAUGCCCGACAGACCAGGUGUUGUUGCUGUCAAGCGACCUGGGAAGGACAGACUGGAGGUUGGAGGCCUGGGGCAGGGAACCAGUUAGAUAGUGAUUGCAAAACCUGAAAACCACUGAAGUGUCACAGCAGGAGAAUGGUUAAAGAAAUACUAUCUCCACGCCAUAGAAUAUUAUGUGGGUGUGAAAAAGAGGAAGGUAGACUUUGGAAAGAUGUCCAAGAUAUACUGCUAGGUAAAAAGAACAAGUUGCAGAACAGUUUGUGUCCUCUAAUCUCAUUCUGAAGCAAAAACAGGACACUCCCCUGCAGACACACGUUGAACUGUGUGGAGAAAACAACUAGAAGGAUGCUGGAAAAACUAUUCACAGAUGUUAUCUCUGAGGGAUGGAGGGGAGGGUGAGGUUUUACUUUUUCACUUUGCACCUUCUGCGCUGUUGAAUUUUGACCAUGAACUCAGUACUUUCACAAGAGUUUUUUGUUUUUGUGUUUUGCUAUUGCAGAAUUGGGGGGUGGGGUGGGA
This 1058-nucleotide long non-coding RNA is filed under the name Felis catus (domestic cat). RNAcentral's name for it is "lncRNA (ENSFCAG00000051652.1)". The record is from RNAcentral. Lineage: Eukaryota; Metazoa; Chordata; Mammalia; Carnivora; Felidae.